AUGAACCCCAAAGGGGUGACCUGAGAACACAAGAAGAUGUAAUUUGCUUGCUGCAUUUUGCCUUCUCCUUUUGAUGGCAGCUCGGCAAGGCCAAAUCACUUGUGUUCUUAGGUAGCACCCCUUCGGGGUUAAC
This 133-nucleotide microRNA precursor is filed under the name Corchorus olitorius. Its description in RNAcentral is "MIR398 microRNA precursor family". It matches the Rfam family "MIR398 microRNA precursor family". Lineage: Eukaryota; Viridiplantae; Streptophyta; Magnoliopsida; Malvales; Malvaceae. The record is from Rfam by way of RNAcentral.